Molecule: ribosomal RNA, 322 nt
Filed under: uncultured eukaryote
Lineage: Eukaryota
Description: partial 18S ribosomal RNA
Rfam family: Eukaryotic small subunit ribosomal RNA
Source: RNAcentral
CCCUUAGAUGUUCUGGGCCGCACGCGUGCUACACUGAGUGGAUCAGCGGGUCAGGUUGCGCGAAAGUGUUUCCUAAUCUUUAAAUCCGCUCGUGAUGGGGAUUGACGGUUGCAAUUUUCCGUCAUGAACGAGGAAUACCUUGUAAGCGCGGGUCAUCAUCCCGCGCUGAAUACGUCCCUGCCCUUUGUACACACCGCCCGUCGCUCCUACCGAUUGAGUGGUCCGGUGAGGCUUUGGGAUCUGAGCGGAAAGAGCGUUUCGCUGUUUCUGCCCGGGAAACUCAGUCGAACCUUAUCAUUUAGAGGAAGGAGAAGUCGUAACA